RNAcentral lists this ribosomal RNA (361 nucleotides) under uncultured bacterium. RNAcentral describes it as "bacterial SSU rRNA". It matches the Rfam family "Bacterial small subunit ribosomal RNA", at positions 441 to 793 of the family's 1533-position model. The record is from RNAcentral.
AAAGAAGAACACGUAUGAGAGUAACUGUUCAUACGUUGACGGUAUUUAACCAGAAAGUCACGGCUAACUACGUGCCAGCAGCCGCGGUAAGUACGUAGGUGGCAAGCGUUAUCCGGAUUUAUUGGGCGUAAAGAGAGUGCAGGCGGUUUUCUAAGUCUGAUGUGAAAGCCUUCGGCUUAACCGGAGAAGUGCAUCGGAAACUGGAUAACUUGAGUGCAGAAGAGGGUAGUGGAACUCCAUGUGUAGCGGUGGAAUGCGUAGAUAUAUGGAAGAACACCAGUGGCGAAGGCGGCUACCUGGUCUGCAACUGACGCUGAGACUCGAAAGCAUGGGUAGCGAACAGGAUUAGAUACCCUGGUAG